This is a long non-coding RNA of Xenia sp. Carnegie-2017, 1225 nucleotides long. RefSeq lists it as uncharacterized. NCBI's taxonomy places the organism in Eukaryota, Metazoa, Cnidaria, Anthozoa, Malacalcyonacea, Xeniidae. The transcript has 5 exons. The record is from RefSeq and is a predicted model, not a curated record.
CUUGUGUUAUCAACAUUAAUGAACAAUAAAGAUUUUGAGACAAAUUUGAAAUCUUCUUUAAUUAUUUAAAGAAGAUUAAAGAAGAUUUAAUUAAAGAAGAAUGGCCAACCCUGAUGUUUCUUGAUGUUUUCAAUUUCCUGAUCUUUUGGAUUUACUGCGGAUUCUCAAAAAGUGUUUGUCAAUACCUUUAUACCUCCAACUCCAAGAAUAGUCAGGAAUUGCGGGAAUAUAUUUAUGGAUUAAAUUCCAUGAUAUGUGGGUAAGGUUGUCUUCCUUUGAUGCAAGAAGUAGUAUGUGUUAAAACACCAAUGAAUGUAAGGUAGUGCGUGUAGAGGGGCUUUGUCAACAGAGGUGUGUUCUGUUCUUUAAAGUAAAUUUUGAUGCUGAUUUUUGCAGUGUUGUUGCACCUUGUUUUAAUAAAUUCUUUUACUUAUAUGCCAUGAUUGACAGAUGCAUUUGGAAGUUAAAUGAAUAUGAAAAAUCACUUGCUUUUGCUUUGAACAUUGUUUGUCAUAGGUAAUGUAUAAGUAUUUUGCAGUGCAACUAAUUGGUUCCUCUCCUUCACCCACUCAAACCAGGCAAAGUGCACACUGCUUUAAACCACUGCUUUAAAUCUCACCACAGGAUGUUAGUUCAAAUAAGUAAUUUUUUAAAGUCUAUGCAAUAUUUAUUUCAUGCUUGUGUGCUCACUUACAGCAAAUUUAUGUAUAUGUGUUUUUGAGAAUUUCUGACUCAUGUAGAACAAGUAUUGCCUGCAAUGGACAUGAAUGGCUAACAUGACAAAAUUGCUUAAGGAAGGACAACUAAGCUUCAUCUUAUCUUACAAUUUUUAAGAACUUAAAAAAUAUUUAUCAUAAACAGAAAGCGUUGUUUGGCCAUAGACCAACAUGAUGUUUAGAAACAGCUUUCAAAAGACACCGCGAGAGAACUGGCUAAUAUAUUUGGCAUGCCCUCGACUUCUCAAAUAUAAAGUAAACCAGAUAGAAGGCGGAGAUUGAAAGUCAAGCUCGUAAAAUAAACAUUCUAAAACACGAAUUCAACCCAUCGAAUGGCUGCCAAACCAAAUACAAGAUUAUUGAGCGAGUUAUAGUGGAUGCUGAAACACUUUGUAAAAUGAAACAAACUAAGGAGACAGUACCAUUUUAAUUCGUUAUAUGAGAGGAGACAACAAUACCGUUGUAUUUCGAACUUAUUACUAUUUCGUCAUCACAAAGUUGAUCUCAAA